This 77-nucleotide transfer RNA is filed under the name Myxococcales bacterium. Its description in RNAcentral is "tRNA-Ile". It matches the Rfam family "tRNA". From Rfam's summary of the family: Transfer RNA (tRNA) molecules are approximately 80 nucleotides in length. Their secondary structure includes four short double-helical elements and three loops (D, anti-codon, and T loops). The record is from RNAcentral. RNAcentral also lists the same sequence under 1 other name. Lineage: Bacteria; Pseudomonadati; Myxococcota; Myxococcia; Myxococcales.
GGGCCCAUAGCUCAAUUGGUUAGAGUCCCCGGCUCAUAACCGGGUAGUUCCUGGUUCGAGUCCAGGUGGGCCUACCA